GUGCCAAGCAGCCGCGGUAAUACCAGCUGAGCUAGAUAUGGGUAACAUUGUUGCAGUAAAAACGUACGUAGUCACUGUCAUCCAUAUUACAGAUCCUUGUGAUGUUGUGAUGGGAUACAAGUUCCUUUUUUGGAGCAAAAUCCGCGAUUAAACUAGAACGAUAAACUUGAAUGUUGAAUAUGACAGCGUGGGAAUCUUUUUGAUGCCAGUUACUGAGAUGCAAUCUUAGUGAUAGGGAUAUACUGUAAGAAUGAAUGAGGGCAUCAGUACUUAAUAGCUAGAGGUGAAAUUCCUAGAUUUGUUAAUGACUAGCUACCGCGAAAGCAUUUGCCUAAUCCAUUUUUGGUGAUCAAGUACUAAAGAGUGGGGAUCGAAGAGGAUUAGAUACCCUCGUAGUCCACUCCCUAAACGAUGCCAACUAGAGGUUGGUCUACGUAUUAUAAACUUUAUCAGAACCUUAGCAGAUAUGAAAGUCUUUGGGCUCUGGGGGGAGUACGGUCGCAAGGUCGAAACUUAAAGGAAUUGACGGAACGGCACCACCAGGGGUGGAGCGUGCGGCUUAAUUUGACUCAACGCGGGAAACCUUACUAAGGUAAGACAUUGUUAUGAUUGACAGAUUACUUGAUCUUUCUUGAUUUGGUGGGUGGUGGUGCAUGGCCGAUCUUAGUUGGUGGGGUGACCCGUCUGGUUAAUUUCGAUAACGAGCGAGAUCCGAGCUGCUUAGUUGGCAAGAUUUGCUUUGCAUAUUUCAGCCUCCUAUGCGGACUGUCAGUUUCAGGCUGAAGGAAGUUUCGGGCUAAAUCAGGUCUGUGAU
This 814-nucleotide ribosomal RNA is filed under the name uncultured eukaryote. RNAcentral's name for it is "bacterial SSU rRNA". It matches the Rfam family "Eukaryotic small subunit ribosomal RNA", at positions 564 to 1468 of the family's 1831-position model. The record is from RNAcentral.